Molecule: long non-coding RNA, 1116 nt
Organism: Cyprinus carpio (common carp)
Lineage: Eukaryota; Metazoa; Chordata; Actinopteri; Cypriniformes; Cyprinidae
Exons: 3
Source: RefSeq, a predicted model, not a curated record
CACUGGAGAUGUACAGGAUUUUGACUGUUACAUCCAUCCUACUGAAUUCUGUGCUGAUUAUUGCAAUAAUAGGUAUGUUAAUGAUCAAACUUAAGAAGCCAAGAAAAAGUCGACGACAACCCCAGAAUGUUGAACCAGAGCAGAUCGAGGACUUAAACACUGCACAGUAUUCCGAAAUCGAGUUACCCACAUAUUCCAGAAGAGAAAAUCCCAUUCAGACAAACGGCACUUAUGAACUUCUUCAGAAGCCAGAGCUGCAUCCUAGAUCAACACAUGCAGAAAUCAUCACAACAUACAAAGUUGAUAAUGAGGCAGUCUGACACCUUCUGUGCAUGAAUCCUUUUCGGUAGGAUUAAGUUUUAUAAAGGUCAAUAUGUUUCCGUCACUGUUUGAAUGAAAACAUGUUAUUUGCUUAUUUAUAAAAUGCAUAAUUUGGAGCAAAUACCUUAGACAUGUUAACAGAUCAGGCUUGAUUAAUGUGUUUCAAUGCAUUAACAUUAAAUUACAAUGGACAAUAUGUAUUAAUCCUGAUUAAUGUAUAUUCAUGUUAACAUACAUAACUAGUUUAUUAUGAAGUAUAUUAUUUAAGUUUGAUUGUAUUGAUUGUAAUUGAUUUUAUUUUAAGUGGUUAAUCAUGCAUGCUGGUUUAGGAUGAUUUAGUUGGUCCCCAGACUGGCCAAGCUGGUGUUUAGCUGGUCUCCCAAAUCUGGCCAGCUGACAAGUACCCAAACCACAUCAAAAACCAUAAAAUUAGGUCAGAAAACGACUUUUCUUGAAUAAAAGUGCAAAAACAAUUAUGAUACAAGGUCGAACAAAGCACAAAAUGGGAAGAUAAAAACAUGGUCUAGAUAUGCAACACUGACUUAGGUUUUGACAUGCUUCUAUCGUGUGAACAGAUUGGUAAAAGUGCUACUUCCUGUUUCUGAAAAGAAUAAAAACACCAAUUAGAGAACAACAGCGAAAUGUCUACAUGCAUUAAGGUCAAAAACUAGUUAAGAGGUCUAGGGUUAAAAAUGGUUUCAGAAAGUGUUUUAAACUUUCUGAACAUUGUUUUCAUCAGUAAAGUGUUGUAGCAUGCACUUGUGACUCAUAAAGACAUUAAAACUUGUUUUAAGA